This 479-nucleotide long non-coding RNA is filed under the name Physcomitrium patens. RNAcentral describes it as "long non-coding RNA (PPAT_LNC001249)". Lineage: Eukaryota; Viridiplantae; Streptophyta; Bryopsida; Funariales; Funariaceae. The record is from RNAcentral.
GGUGAACGUAAACAUGCCGCUAUCAAACCUCCCUCACAUUUAAUAAUAAGUUGGAAUGUAUAAAAAUAAGAAUCAUUUGAAAUCAACCAUCGAUUGAACCAACAAGAAAGUGUGACACUGUUUAGAUUGCAAUUGACAAAAUAAGAAAUCUGAAAUCUCAAUGCAAGCUGGUGAAGUGAAUCUGGGAAGUAAAUCAUUUUGUGCAUGAAAUGAAGUUGGGCACGCCUAAUAAGUGCAAGCUACAUGUAAUAUGCAGGUGACGAACACUUGGCUGUAUUCAGGUUCUUACAACUCGAAGACUCCUCGCCCGCCGAGACACCUACAGAGGAGUCUUUGGAGGAAUCUGUGGAGACACCUGCAGAGGUAGUGGCGGAGGCACCUGCACCUCCUCAGAAAGAGGCCCAAUGAAAAGUUUCUGACCUGUUUUCGGAUUGAUCGUGAAGGUAGCUAGGGUUGAGCAUUUACCGAUUGAGGUUGGA